GUUUCUUUCUCCCGUUCUCCCUUUCUUUCUUUCAUUUAGAAAGAAAUCACACAAACCCUAGCACUGUAAGCCUACACCACCGCCGCCGCAAGGAGUGGAAUAUUGCCGCCGUCCGUCGCACUCAAAGUUCGCCAUCCGUCAUCUAGCUCCCCUCGUGCUCCAAGUCUUCAACCCCUGUUCGCUGUCACCGAUCGCGGCUGCUUCCUCGAGCUCGGCGUCCGUCGUCUUUGUCUGCUCAGCCGUCCUUCCGUCGUCGUUUGUUUGCCGUUCACGUUCACGUAUUCGUUCAGCUGUCGUCUUCGUUCGCGUUCUUCGCCGUUCACGUUCGCUCGGCGUUCACCGUUCGCGUUCACUCGCUGUUCACCGUUCGAGUUCGUGUUCGUCUGGAAGCCACGUUGCUCCGCUUCAAACUCUGCGACCAACCCGCGCGCUCCACCCAGCCGUCGAACUACUCUCUUUUGUCACCGUGAGUUCCCUAAACCCGCCACCAGACAAUACACUCACACAACACAAAUACUCUUCUUCAAACUCUGCAUCUUCUGAUUUCUAUUACAAUAAGUAAUUAUUUGACUUGGAAGUGGUUUGGAUUUUUUCAUAGACUGAAUUAAAGUUACAGUAGUUAUGUUCUCUUCUCUGUCACAUUGAAAUUAAGCUUUGAAUUCUCUUAUUUCGUUUUAAUUUCACCGCACUCAACAUGUUUGAUGAAAUGCUUUAACCAUAUUUCUGGUUGGUUUUAUAAUUUCUAGCUCUUAGAAACUUAGUAAAUUGAUUGCAUGUGAAAUUAGAAUAAUUGGAUCAACAUGUUUGAUGAAAUGCUUUAACCAUAUUAGCAUGAUGAUUCCACUUGCAUUAAUGUUCUUCUGGUAGAUUUUAAUUGUUAUUGUGAACUUGUUAAUUUGCUAAGUUCUUGUGUUCUUCUGUUACUUUUAAUUUUUUUUGUUUUUGCUGUGAUUUUCUGUUCUUGAACUUGUUAAGUUGAUAAUUUGCUAAAUUUUUGGGCUGCUGUUGUUUUAAUUUGCCAAAUUGUUAGGUUGCUGCAACAUAAUUUGUUGGAUUUUCUAUUUAGGUCAUGUUCUUGUUUAUUUGCUAAAUUGUUGUUGUGUAUUUAUUGUUUAUUUGCUGGAUAUUGGUAAUCAUUGUCUUUGAGAUUAUUUAUUAUGCAGGUUUAGUGUCAUCACUGUUUUGGAAUGUUUAGUGUGAUUAUUGGUUAAUAUUUUGUAAUGUUUGGUGCUGAAUGCUGAUUGUUGAGUUCAGAUAUGGUUGUUUAUUUUGACUUGGGUAAAGAGACUUAUGGUCAUUUUUUCCUGUCUUAUACCAAUUCAGAUGAUUAUUUUCAGAGGAUGAGCACUUAUUUCUGUAUCUUGAGAAACUGUCUUUGUGUGUUAUGAGCAUUUGGUGAAGCUUGUAUUGUACCUAUUCAAAGUUUAGUUUCACCAAAUGGUCUUCAAAGCAACUCAUCCAAAAUGCUGCUGCACAAACCCAAGUCUGUUGUCUCUUAAAGCCUGUAUGCACCUUCAUUUGGUGAAAGCCUUUCUAGCACUAGUCCACUACCAACUUUGUUAUUAAUAAUGUUAUCAAAUUUAUUUAUCCAAGUACUAUGC
Arachis ipaensis is the source of this 1601-nucleotide non-coding RNA. The record is from RefSeq and is a predicted model, not a curated record. Lineage: Eukaryota; Viridiplantae; Streptophyta; Magnoliopsida; Fabales; Fabaceae.